Long non-coding RNA from Cotesia glomerata, 320 nucleotides. RefSeq lists it as uncharacterized. The transcript is spliced from 2 exons. The record is from RefSeq and is a predicted model, not a curated record. NCBI's taxonomy places the organism in Eukaryota, Metazoa, Arthropoda, Insecta, Hymenoptera, Braconidae.
AAAAGCUUUAGUCAAAAAUAAAUCCAAAGGCCACAAGCCAAAAAAAUCAUUAGCAUUUAAAUGCGAUGAAAUUAUGACAUUUAUCAACGAUGCACCAAAUUAUAUCCACCUGGCUUCUAAGGUUAUUCUCAUCUUUGGUGUCUGUGGAGCUUUGAGGUGUGAUGAGCUAACUAAAAUUACCCUGGCAGAUCUGAAAUACCGUAGAAUUACGGUAUUAUACGGUAAAAAUACGGUCGAUAUACCGUAUGGCCGCCGUAGAUUACAGUAGCAUUCUACUUGCACGGUAGAAACAGUAAAACACCGUAACGUACAGUAAAGAA